UGGGGAAUAUUGGACAAUGGGCGAAAGCCUGAUCCAGCAAUGCCGCGUGAGUGAUGAAGGCCUUAGGGUUGUAAAGCUCUUUUACCAGGGAUGAUAAUGACAGUACCUGGAGAAUAAGCUCCGGCUAACUCCGUGCCAGCAGCCGCGGUAAUACGGAGGGAGCUAGCGUUGUUCGGAAUUACUGGGCGUAAAGCGUACGUAGGCGGUUAUUCAAGUCAGAGGUGAAAGCCCGGGGCUCAACCCCGGAACGGCCUUUGAAACUAGAUAGCUAGAAUCUUGGAGAGGUCAGUGGAAUUCCGAGUGUAGAGGUGAAAUUCGUAGAUAUUCGGAAGAACACCAGUGGCGAAGGCGACUGACUGGACAAGUAUUGACGCUGAGGUACGAAAGCGUGGGGAGCAAACAGGAUUAGAUACCCAAGUAGUCCCUG
Molecule: ribosomal RNA, 427 nt
Filed under: uncultured bacterium
Lineage: Bacteria
Description: bacterial SSU rRNA
Rfam family: Bacterial small subunit ribosomal RNA
Source: RNAcentral